RNAcentral lists this long non-coding RNA (554 nucleotides) under Mustela putorius furo (domestic ferret). RNAcentral's name for it is "lncRNA (ENSMPUG00000026465.1)". Lineage: Eukaryota; Metazoa; Chordata; Mammalia; Carnivora; Mustelidae. The record is from RNAcentral.
CGUGAGGGGACGCGCUGCGGCCUGGUUGGUGGUUGUGCGUUCUCGGUCCUGAAGAAGCAUCUUUGAUAAAGUUACUAAAUUUAAGGUUUAUUAUCUAAAAAGCGGAUACUUAAGGAGGUGUGACCACUGAUGACGAAAGCAGAGAGGCGGCGUCUUGCCCUGGGACUCCGCAGUUGGAGGCGUCGCCGUCCUGGCCCUUCUGUUGGAGCCGCGGCACCGGGGGUUUCCUGGUUCUCGGCCUGGCGGGGUCGGAUGACCGAGGGCUGAAGUCCGGGCGUGGGGCCGCGUUCUGUGCUGCUCCUGACUGCUGCUCUCUGCGACGGGUUUGCAGACAGCCCCCAGGCUCCCUGCGCAGCAUCGCCUUGCUGGUUCCACAGCCCGUCCCGGUGCGGUCCUCCUGGGACCUUGAUCUGCUGAGAAGACUGGGACUCUUCCGCCGCCUCUUUUCCGUCUGUGGCUCGAAGUGCUACCUCUUCGCUCCUGAAUUUCUCUUAAAAGGUUCUGUGGAUUGUGGUUUUCUUUAUGCUCCAGUGUGCACGGAACUGCAUCCCUAA